UAUGGAGGGUGCAAGCGUUAUCCGGAUUCACUGGGUUUAAAGGGAGCGCAGGCGGGCUGGUAAGUCAGUGGUGAAAGCCUUGAGCUUAACUCGAGAACUGCCAUUGAUACUAUCAGUCUUGAAUAUUGUUGAGGUUUGCGGAAUGGGUCAUGUAGCGGUGAAAUGCAUAGAUAUGACCCGGAACACCUAUUGCGAAGGCAGCAGGCUAAACAAAGAUUGACGCUGAGGCUCGAAAGCGUGGGGAUCAAACAGG
RNAcentral lists this ribosomal RNA (253 nucleotides) under uncultured bacterium. RNAcentral describes it as "partial 16S ribosomal RNA". It matches the Rfam family "Bacterial small subunit ribosomal RNA", at positions 524 to 776 of the family's 1533-position model. The record is from RNAcentral.